CCUACGGGUGGCAGCAGUGGGGAAUAUUGCGCAAUGGGCGAAAGCCUGACGCAGCGACGCCGCGUGAGCGAUGAAGUAUUUCGGUAUGUAAAGCUCUAUCAGCAGGGAAGAAAAUGACGGUACCUGACUAAGAAGCCCCGGCUAACUACGUGCCAGCAGCCGCGGUAAUACGUAGGGGGCAAGCGUUAUCCGGAUUUACUGGGUGUAAAGGGAGCGUAGACGGUCCUGCAAGCCAGAUGUGAAAGCCCGGGGCCCAACCCCGGGACUGCCCUUGGAACUGCAUGGCUGGAGUGCGGGAGGGGCAGGCGGAAUUCCUGGUGUAGCGGUGAAAUGCGUAGAUAUCAGGAGGAACACCGGCGGCGAAGGCGGCCUGCUGGACCGCGACUGACGUUGAGGCUCGAAAGCGUGGGGAGCGAACAGGAUUAGAUACCCCUGUAGUC
RNAcentral lists this ribosomal RNA (440 nucleotides) under uncultured bacterium. RNAcentral's name for it is "partial 16S ribosomal RNA". It matches the Rfam family "Bacterial small subunit ribosomal RNA", at positions 338 to 795 of the family's 1533-position model. The record is from RNAcentral.